Molecule: unclassified non-coding RNA, 261 nt
Filed under: Hevea brasiliensis (rubber tree)
Lineage: Eukaryota; Viridiplantae; Streptophyta; Magnoliopsida; Malpighiales; Euphorbiaceae
Source: RNAcentral
AAAAGCUGUUGCCUACAAAUUAGAUUUGGCAAAGAAGUUGCUUGCAGAGUAUGGAUCCCAUUUUUCUUUAGUUCUCAUCGUCUAUUUGUUCGUGCGAAUUAUAUCUAGUCCAUCAUCUAAAUCAAGUUCUGGAAAUGAAAAGAAAAGACAUUGAUCGUUCAUCAGCUGUAGCAAACUUCUCUUUUGCAGAGGCAAGGCCUGAUACCUGAUCGUUCAUCAGCUGUAGCAAACUUCUCUUUUGCAGAGGCAAGGCCUGAUACC